Molecule: ribosomal RNA, 694 nt
Filed under: uncultured Lachnospiraceae bacterium
Lineage: Bacteria; Bacillati; Bacillota; Clostridia; Lachnospirales; Lachnospiraceae
Description: bacterial SSU rRNA
Rfam family: Bacterial small subunit ribosomal RNA
Source: RNAcentral
CGGCGUGCCUAACACAUGCAAGUCGAACGAAGCAAUCGGGAUGAAGUUUUCGGAUGGAUUCCUGGUUGACUGAGUGGCGGACGGGUGAGUAACGCGUGGAUAACCUGCCUCACACUGGGGGAUAACAGUUAGAAAUGGCUGCUAAUACCGCAUAAGCGCACAGUACCGCAUGGUACGGUGUGAAAAACCCAGGUGGUGUGAGAUGGAUCCGCGUCUGAUUAGCCAGUUGGCGGGGUAACGGCCCACCAAAGCGACGAUCAGUAGCCGACCUGAGAGGGUGACCGGCCACAUUGGGACUGAGACACGGCCCAAACUCCUACGGGAGGCAGCAGUGGGGAAUAUUGCACAAUGGGCGGAAGCCUGAUGCAGCGACGCCGCGUGAGUGAAGAAGUAUCUCGGUAUGUAAAGCUCUAUCAGCAGGGAAGAAAAUGACGGUACCUGACUAAGAAGCCCCGGCUAACUACGUGCCAGCAGCCGCGGUAAUACGUAGGGGGCAAGCGUUAUCCGGAUUUACUGGGUGUAAAGGGAGCGUAGACGGCGACGCAAGUCUGGAGUGAAAGCCCGGGGCCCAACCCCGGGACUGCUUUGGAAACUGUGCUGCUGGAGUGCAGGAGAGGUAAGUGGAAUUCCUAGUGUAGCGGUGAAAUGCGUAGAUAUUAGGAGGAACACCAGUGGCGAAGGCGGCUUACUGGAC